UACGGAGGGUGCAAGCGUUAUCCGGAUUCACGGGGUUUAAAGGGUGCGUAGGAGGGCAGGUAAGUCAGUGGUGAAAUCUCCAAGCUUAACUUGGAAACUGCCGUUGAUACUAUCUGUCUUGAAUAUUGUGGAGGUGAGCGGAAUAUGUCAUGUAGCGGUGAAAUGCUUAGAUAUGACAUAGAACACCAAUUGCGAAGGCAGCUCACUACUCAAUCAUUGACUCUGAGGCACGAAAGCGUGGGGAUCAAACAGG
RNAcentral lists this ribosomal RNA (253 nucleotides) under uncultured bacterium. RNAcentral's name for it is "partial 16S ribosomal RNA". It matches the Rfam family "Bacterial small subunit ribosomal RNA", at positions 524 to 776 of the family's 1533-position model. The record is from RNAcentral.